GACCUCGUUAGGUGAGGCUCCUAUACAAACACAUGCCACUGCCCAGAAAUAUCGAAAGAUGCCUAUGGGUAGAACAGGAAUUGCCGGACUAAGGCUUUUCAUAAUGUGGCUAAGACAAACCGUCUUUACGUUGUAUAGUGCCAAAACUCG
Molecule: small RNA, 150 nt
Filed under: uncultured Paenibacillus sp.
Lineage: Bacteria; Bacillati; Bacillota; Bacilli; Caryophanales; Paenibacillaceae
Description: M-box riboswitch (ykoK leader)
Rfam family: M-box riboswitch aptamer (ykoK leader)
About the family: M-box riboswitch, also know as ykoK leader is described as a metaloregulatory RNA that sense divalent metals and function as a genetic control element of genes related to divalent metal transport in bacteria.
Source: RNAcentral